This is a non-coding RNA of Oncorhynchus mykiss (rainbow trout), 1633 nucleotides long. The record is from RefSeq and is a predicted model, not a curated record. NCBI's taxonomy places the organism in Eukaryota, Metazoa, Chordata, Actinopteri, Salmoniformes, Salmonidae.
CAGAUGGGACAGAAAAAAAAAAUCUCCAGUACUCCAUAUAAUACUGAACAUCACCAUUGGGUAUUCUGUUGUCUUCCUUGAACACUCACAACUACGUUUGAGUUCUAAUAAUCAAUUUGUCAAUCAAGGGUUCCCCCAUCGACUUAAAUAAUAGGCAAUCAUGCGUCUGGAGGGAAAGAAUCAGAUACAAAACUUCUCUCUCUGUCAUACUUAUAGCUCAGGCAGCGAUCAAAACUACAUUUAGCUGAGGAUUCUGAAUACCUCUGACCCCUAGCGGCAAACAUCUACAGGGGAUAAGUCCCAAACGGCACCCUAUUCCCUAUAUGGUGCACUACUUUUGACCAUAGCUCUAGGGUGUCAAUUGGCUGCCACUUUGGACAACCAGGGUUAACUGGACCAGCAGGUAGUGGAUGGACUUCCAGGGUUAACUGGACCAGCAGGUAGUGGAUAGACAACCAGGGUUAACUGGACCAGCAGGUAGUGGAUGGACAACCAGGGUUAACUGGACCAGCUGGUAGUGGAUGGACUUCCAGGGUUAACUGGACCAGCAGGUAGUGGAUGGAUAACCAGGGUUAACUGGACCAGCAGGUAGUGGAUGGACAACCAGGGUUAACUGGACCAGCAGGUAGUGGAUGGACAACCAGGGUUAACUGGACCAGCUGGUAGUGGAUGGACUUCCAGGGUUAACUGGACCAGCAGGUAGUGGAUGGAUAACCAGGGUUAACUGGACCAGCAGGUAGUGGAUGGACAACCAGGGUUAACUGGACCAGCAGGUAGUGGAUGGACAACCAGGGUUAACUGGACCAGCUGGUAGUGGAUGGACAACCAGGGUUAACUGGACCAGCAGGUAGUGGAUGGAUAACCAGGGUUAACUGGACCAGCAGGUAGUGGAUGGACAACCAGGGUUAACUGGACCAGCAGGUAGUGGAUGGAUAACCAGGGUUAACUGGACCAGCUGGUAGUGGAUGGAUAACCAGGGUUAACUGGACCAGCAGGUAGUGGAUGGAUAACCAGGGUUAACUGGACCAGCAGGUAGUGGAUGGACAACCAGGGUUAACUGGACCAGCAGGUAGUGGAUGGAUAACCAGGGUUAACUGGACCAGCAGGUAGUGGAUGGACAACCAGGGUUAACUGGACCAGCAGGUAGUGGAUGGACAACCAGGGUUAACUGGACCAGCAGGUAGUGGAUGGACUUCCAGGGUUAACUGGACCAGCAGGUAGUGGAUGGACAACCAGGGUUAACUGGACCAGCAGGUAGUGGAUGGACUUCCAGGGUUAACUGGACCAGCAGGUAGUGGAUGGACAACCAGGGUUAACUGGACCAGCAGGUAGUGGAUGGACUUCCAGGGUUAACUGGAUCAGCAGGUAGUGGAUGGACAACCAGGGUUAACUGGACCAGCAGGUAGUGGACUAAAUUAGUUCUACUUAACAUCUUGGUGUGCCUUUUCUGUUUUACCACAGUGGGAUGAUUGUGUGAGUUACGCUGGUGUAAUGUUAUAAAUAUGUAGUCAAAAAAAUGAACAUGAAACAUUCAGCAGUUCCUGUCCCCUUGCUCCCAUGGCCAGUAUUAUUGGGUGUGUUUGCAGGAAGGUCUGCUCUAAUCUAUACUGUUGUUUUGUUUAGGUGUAGUGGG